RNAcentral lists this ribosomal RNA (785 nucleotides) under uncultured Mycoplasma sp. Its description in RNAcentral is "bacterial SSU rRNA". It matches the Rfam family "Bacterial small subunit ribosomal RNA", at positions 381 to 1186 of the family's 1533-position model. Lineage: Bacteria; Bacillati; Mycoplasmatota; Mollicutes; Mycoplasmatales; Mycoplasmataceae. The record is from RNAcentral.
GUCUGAUGGAGCAUACCACGUGAACGAUGAAGGUCUUCUGAUUGUAAAGUUCUUUUAUUUAGGAAAAAAAGCGCGCUAGGAAAUGAGCGCGCCUUGAUGGUACUAAUUGAAUAAGUGACAGCUAACUAUGUGCCAGCAGCUGCGGUAAAACAUAGGUCACGAGCAUUAUCCGGAUUUAUUGGGCGUAAAGGAAGCGUAGGUGGGGAGGUUGAUCCAUUGUUAAAGGCAUUUGCUUAACAAAUGUGUGCGAUGGAGAUCGCCUUCCUAGAGUUAAUCAGGGGGUACUGGAAUUCAAUGUGUAGCGGUGGAAUGCGUAGAUAUAUUGAGGAACACCAGAGGCUAAGGCGAGUACCUAGGAUAUAACUGACACUGAGGCUUGAAAGCGUGGGGAGCAAAUGGGAUUAGAUACCCCAGUAGUCCACGCCGUAAACGAUGGGCAUUAGGUAUUUGACAUCUGGUCGAGUGCUGUAGCUAACGCGUUAAAUGCCCCGCCUGGGUAGUAUAUAUGCAAAUAUGAAACUCAAAGAAAUUGACGGGGACCUGAACAAGUGGUGGAGCAUGUUGCUUAAUUCGAUAAUACACGAAAAACCUUACCAAGGCUUGUAAUCUACUGCAAAGCUAUAGAAAUAUAGUGGAGGCAAUCAGUAAGACAGGUGGUGCAUGGCUGUCGUCAGCUCGUGUCUUGAGAUGUUUGGUUAAGUCCCGUAACGAGCGCAACCCUACUCUCUAGUUACCUAGUUCUAGAGUGACUGAAUCGUAAGAUAUAGGAAGGUUGGGGCCAAGUC